This 300-nucleotide unclassified non-coding RNA is filed under the name Melitaea cinxia (Glanville fritillary). RNAcentral's name for it is "misc RNA ENSMCXG00005015452.1". The record is from RNAcentral. Lineage: Eukaryota; Metazoa; Arthropoda; Insecta; Lepidoptera; Nymphalidae.
CACGAAAUCUCCGAAAUUAUAACACCUACAAACUUGAAAUUUGGCAAAAAGGCUCCUUAUAGGGCGUAAACAUCCGCUAAGAACGAAUUUUACAAAAUUCGACCCUUAAGGGGGUAAAAAGGGGGUCGGAAGUUUGUAUGAAAGUCCCAUGUUUUUGAAGUAUGAGACUUGAAAUUUAAAAUGUAUACCCUAUAAAUGAUAAGAAGGUGUUCAAAUAAUGAAUCUUUAGAAAUCAACUCCCUUUUGGGGUUAAAACGGGGGAUGGUAGGUUGACUCACUCAUCACGAAAUCUCCGAAAUU